CCUACGGGUGGCAGCAGUGAGGAAUAUUGGUCAAUGGGCGGAAGCCUGAACCAGCCAAGCCGCGUGAAGGAAGAAGGCGCAGAGCGUCGCAAACAUCUUUUGUCGGGGGACAAAAGGGAAGACUCGUCCCCUCAUGAGUGUACCCGAAGAAAAAGCAUCGGCUAACUCCGUGCCAGCAGCCGCGGUAAUACGGAGGAGGCGAGCGUUAUCCGGAUUCGUUGGGUUUAAAGGGUGCGCAGGGGGGGCUUUAAGCCGGCGGUGAAAUGGCGGGGCUCAACCCCGCCCGGCCGUUGAAACUGGGUGGCUAGAGUGUGGCAGAGGGAUGCAGAAUGCGAGGUGUAGCGGUGAAAUGCAUAGAUAUCGCGCAGAACCCCGAUUGCGAAGGCAGCGUCCCGGGCCCAGACUGACGCUGAGGCACGAAAGCGUGGGGAUCGAACAGGAUUAGAUACCCUUGUAGUC
Molecule: ribosomal RNA, 459 nt
Filed under: uncultured bacterium
Lineage: Bacteria
Description: partial 16S ribosomal RNA
Rfam family: Bacterial small subunit ribosomal RNA
Source: RNAcentral